UACGAAGGGGGCUAGCGUUGCUCGGAAUCACUGGGCGUAAAGGGUGCGUAGGCGGGUUUUUAAGUCAGAGGUGAAAUCCUGGAGCUCAACUCCAGAACUGCCUUUGAUACUGAAAGUCUUGAGUAUGGGAGAGGUGAGUGGAACUGCGAGUGUAGAGGUGAAAUUCGUAGAUAUUCGCAAGAACACCAGUGGCGAAGGCGGCUCACUGGCCCGGUACUGACGCUGAGGCACGAAAGCGUGGGGAGCAAACAGG
This 253-nucleotide ribosomal RNA is filed under the name uncultured bacterium. RNAcentral describes it as "partial 16S ribosomal RNA". It matches the Rfam family "Bacterial small subunit ribosomal RNA", at positions 524 to 776 of the family's 1533-position model. The record is from RNAcentral.